GACGAACGCUGGCGGCGUGCUUAACACAUGUAAGUCGAACGGUGAAGCUCCAGCUUGCUGGAGUGGAUCAGUGGCGAACGGGUGAGUAACACGUGAGCAACCUGCCCCUGACUCUGGAAUAAGCGCUGGAAACGGCGUCUAAUACUGGAUACGAGAAGGGUCCGCAUGGGCACUUUCUGGAAAGUUUUUCGGUUGGGGAUGGGCUCGCGGCCUAUCAGCUUGUUGGUGAGGUAAUGGCUCACCAAGGCGACGACGGGUAGCCGGCCUGAGAGGGCGACCGGCCACACUGGGACUGAGACACGGCCCAGACUCCUACGGGAGGCAGCAGUGGGGAAUAUUGCACAAUGGGCGAAAGCCUGAUGCAGCGACGCCGCGUGAGGGAUGACGGCCUUCGGGUUGUAAACCUCUUUCAGCAGGGAAGAAGCGAAAGUGACAGUACCUGCAGAAGAAGCACCGGCUAACUACGUG
Molecule: ribosomal RNA, 468 nt
Filed under: uncultured bacterium
Lineage: Bacteria
Description: partial 16S ribosomal RNA
Rfam family: Bacterial small subunit ribosomal RNA
Source: RNAcentral